This 433-nucleotide ribosomal RNA is filed under the name uncultured bacterium. RNAcentral's name for it is "bacterial SSU rRNA". It matches the Rfam family "Bacterial small subunit ribosomal RNA", at positions 29 to 507 of the family's 1533-position model. The record is from RNAcentral.
AGCGAACGCUGGCGGCAGGCCUAAUACAUGCAAGUCGAACGGUCUCUUCGGAGGCAGUGGCGGACGGGUGAGUAACGCGUGGGAACGUGCCCUUUGGUACGGAACAACUGAGGGAAACUUCAGCUAAUACCGUAUGUGCCCUUCGGGGGAAAGAUUUAUCGCCAUUGGAGCGGCCCGCGUUGGAUUAGCUAGUUGGUGGGGUAAUGGCCCACCAAGGCGACGAUCCAUAGCUGGUCUGAGAGGAUGAUCAGCCACACUGGGACUGAGACACGGCCCAGACUCCUACGGGAGGCAGCAGUAGGGAAUCUUGCGCAAUGGGCGAAAGCCUGACGCAGCCAUGCCGCGUGAAUGAUGAAGGUCUUAGGAUUGUAAAAUUCUUUCACCGGGGACGAUAAUGACGGUACCCGGAGAAGAAGCCCCGGCUAACUUCGUG